GUGCCGUUAACUCAGCCCGGUAGAGUUCCAGACUCUUAAUCUGGGAGCCAGAGGUUCGAAUCCUCUACGGCACACCA
This 77-nucleotide transfer RNA is filed under the name Candidatus Sungiibacteriota bacterium. RNAcentral describes it as "Candidatus Sungbacteria bacterium tRNA-Lys". It matches the Rfam family "tRNA". From Rfam's summary of the family: Transfer RNA (tRNA) molecules are approximately 80 nucleotides in length. Their secondary structure includes four short double-helical elements and three loops (D, anti-codon, and T loops). Further hydrogen bonds mediate the characteristic L-shaped molecular structure. tRNAs have two regions of fundamental functional importance: the anti-codon, which is responsible for specific mRNA codon recognition, and the 3' end, to which the tRNAs corresponding amino acid is attached (by aminoacyl-tRNA synthetases). tRNAs cope with the degeneracy of the genetic code in two manners: having more than one tRNA (with a specific anti-codon) for a particular amino acid; and 'wobble' base-pairing, i.e. permitting non-standard base-pairing at the 3rd anti-codon position. The record is from RNAcentral. Lineage: Bacteria; Candidatus Sungiibacteriota.